Molecule: unclassified non-coding RNA, 161 nt
Filed under: soil metagenome
Description: partial internal transcribed spacer 1
Source: RNAcentral
CAGAGUUGCAAGACUCCCUAAACCAUUGUGAACCUACCUUCUACCGUUGCUUCGGCGGGCGGGCCCAGCGCCCCCCCCGGCCCCCCGCGGGCGCCCGCCGGAGGAUACCCAAACUCUUGACAUUAGUGGCCUCUCCUGAGUAUUCUUUACUGAAUAAGUCA